Non-coding RNA from Vicia faba (fava bean), 282 nucleotides. The record is from the annotation of a GenBank genome assembly. NCBI's taxonomy places the organism in Eukaryota, Viridiplantae, Streptophyta, Magnoliopsida, Fabales, Fabaceae.
AUGACAGAGAUGAUGGUGAUUUCGCUGUUUAUGAAGGAAUCGAAGAGAGGCUUGCGCGGAGGAGAUUUUGGAGGUCGCGGCGAGUUGCGGUCGAGAAGAGGUGUGGCUCGGUUACAGAUGGUGUUUCUGGCGAAGAUGAAGGUUUUUCGGCGAGGAAGGGUUCUCCGGUCAAGUUGGUCUAGCAGUAUGCUUGUUCCAUGGUUUUGUGCUAUGCAGGUUCCAUGGUUUUGUGAUUUGCAAUAUGCUAUGCAAAAUGGUUUAGCAGUAAUGCAGGUUUUGUAA